Long non-coding RNA from Oncorhynchus tshawytscha (Chinook salmon), 1332 nucleotides. The record is from Ensembl. NCBI's taxonomy places the organism in Eukaryota, Metazoa, Chordata, Actinopteri, Salmoniformes, Salmonidae.
CAUGGAUGAUGAUUUCAAGACUUGCUGCUAUCGAAUACAGAUCGCCCCGUGAUCAAUUUGAUAGAUUAUUAACGUUUAUUAAUACCUAAAGUUGGUUUAGAAAAGUAGUUUGAAGUGAUUUGUAAAAGUUUAUAGGAAACUUUUGUAAUUUUAAAAAGUGACGUUGCGUCUUGUAAAGGGGAUUUUUCCUGGAUCAGACCGGCCUUCAGAAAAUGACAUUUUGGGUUUACAAUGACGGAUUUAAUCGGGAAAAAGACCCAAUUGUGAUGUUUAUGGGACAUAUAGGAGUGCCAACAAAGAAGCUCGUCAAAGACCGGGACUGCAGCAGAUCCUUGCCAACAGAAGCUCAAACUAAAUUCCCCAGACUGACCUGUAAAAUUGACUGCUUUGAAAUCAGGAUGAGCAUUCAAAAAGACUGAAAUCCCGAUUUUGUCAGACAGGGACUUCGCACCUAUGGAUGAUUUUGCCUUUAUUGGAGCACACUUCAUAACACCUGCCUUCAUCCACGGUCGGAAGCAGUUGCCAGGGAAAGAGGUAGAGCAGUCAAGAGUGAAAUCAGUGGAUUCCCAUAGAGAGGGUGAUAGCCACAUAACCUGCCCCUGGUUAAGAACCUGAAGGAUGAGAGUGAAGACAAAGAAGAGGCAACACUCGUCAAAAUCAACAAGACUGGCAGUGUGGUUAAACUGCAAUACCACUGCCUGCCCUACUGCAGCUGACGCCUGCCCUCCUGCUGCUGCCUGCACUGCUGAUGCCUGCCACACUGCUGCUGAUUCCUGUGCUACUGUUGCCUGUACUGCUGAUGCCUACCCUGCUGAUGCCUACCCUGGUGCUGCCUGCCAUCCUGCCUGCAUUGCCAUUACCACUGGGGUAGUGAUCAGCCUCCUAAUAAAGUACACAGUUAUGAACAGAGACAAACGUGCAUGCAUGACAUUUGUGACUGACCGGCUCGAUCUUAUUUUACAUCGGAUAAAAGUAGACUCAGAGCUAGAAAAUGGUAUAUCAUCCGCUACAGUUGAGGAUCAAUGGGAAAGUAAUUCUGCUUUGAAAGUUGAUCAACUUGGAGGGGAGGGGCUACUGUCAAGCCUGCUUCUGCUCCCCCUCUCUGGCGCUUGAGGGCACCAGGCUGCCCUUCAUUAUGCACACCUGCCGCCAAGAUUACGCGCAUCAGCGCUCAUUGGACUCACCUGGACUCCUUCACCUUUUUGAUUGCCCCAUCUAUAUCUGUCUGUCCCUCCGUUGCUUCCCCGUGUCCGCAUUAAUGUCGUUAUGUUUUAUGCCCAGACGCUGUCCUGUCUUGUGCUGUUUUAUGUCCAUUGUUAAUUAAAUGUUCAC